UGGGGAAUAUUGCACAAUGGGCGCAAGCCUGAUGCAGCCAUGCCGCGUGUGUGAAGAAGGCCUCGGUUGUAAAGCACUUUCAGCGAGGAGGAAGGUGGUGAGCUUAAUACGCUCAUCAAUUGACGUUACUCGCAGAAGAAGCACCGGCUAACUCCGUGCCAGCAGCCGCGGUAAUACGGAGGGUGCAAGCGUUAAUCGGAAUUACUGGGCGUAAAGCGCACGCAGGCGGUUUGUUAAGUCAGNUGUGAAAUCCCCGGGCUCAACCUGGGAACUGCAUUUGAAACUGGCAAGCUAGAGUCUCGUAGAGGGGGGCUAGAAUUCCAGGUGUAGCGGUGAAAUGCGUAGAGAUCUGGAGGAAUACCGGUGGCGAAGGCGGCCCCCUGGANGAAGACUGACGCUCAGGUGCGAAAGCGUGGGG
Molecule: ribosomal RNA, 418 nt
Filed under: uncultured bacterium
Lineage: Bacteria
Description: partial 16S ribosomal RNA
Rfam family: Bacterial small subunit ribosomal RNA
Source: RNAcentral